This 305-nucleotide ribosomal RNA is filed under the name uncultured bacterium. RNAcentral describes it as "bacterial SSU rRNA". It matches the Rfam family "Bacterial small subunit ribosomal RNA", at positions 335 to 639 of the family's 1533-position model. The record is from RNAcentral.
UGCCUACGGGGGGCAGCAGUGAGGAAUAUUGGUCAAUGGCCGGAAGGCUGAACCAGCCAAGCCGCGUGAAGGACGAAGGUGCCAAGCAUUGUAAACUUCUUUUGUCAAGGGACAAAAUCAGGCUCGAGAGCCUGACCGAGGGUACUUGAAGAAAAAGCAUCGGCUAACUCCGUGCCAGCAGCCGCGGUAAUACGGAGGAUGCGAGCGUUAUCCGGAUUUAUUGGGUUUAAAGGGUGCGUAGGCGGGAUGCCAAGUCAGCGGUAAAAAUGCGGUGCUCAACGCCGUCGAGCCGUUGAAACUGGCGU